ACGAAAAUUGCUUAGUGUUCUUCCUUUGUGUGGAGGUGCUACCGGUGAAGGUGUAAGGCUUGUUGGCCGAUUGUGGUGCCGGCGAGAGCAACGUCCCCUUUGUGAUUCUUCGUGGCUUAGUGUGUGCGUGAUCGAGAGGAAGAGAGCUGUACCUGAGCCGAGAAGAUCGACGCCCCUUGUUCCUCUCUUUGUGUGUUUUUCCUUGCAGGUUGUCGAGGCUGCUGCUACCUCGUUGCUGCGCCGCUGUGCAGCUGCUGUUUUGCGGCUUUGUAGCUGCGCUGUGGCUGCCCAAAGUCGAAGGAAGCCUUCAACAACGACGACGAGGGUCGAUACUCAACAGUGGUAUCAGAGCCACGGUUGACCUCGUCGUCGCAUUGGUAAGUCGGGGUCCUGACCUUAGGAUCCCGCUCUGGUAAAGCGGCUUAAACCUCUCUUGUUUUUCAAUUUCUAGUUGCUGCCAUCUGGUGCAGUUUAGGCUUGGUGCUUAUCUGCUGGUAGAUAUAUAGGAUUCGUGUGUCGAAUUCUGUUUUCUGUUUUAAUUUUUUUUCGCUGUUACUAUUCACGUGAAUAGUGAUUUCGUGAAUAGUGUUUUUGGUCUCUUAUUUUUACUUCCGCUGUAAACUCUGUGGUUGUCAAUCUUUGUGAGUCUUUGUGAUUAUUUGCUUCGUGUUGCGAUGUCUUCUUUGGCAAAUUAUGGUUUAGCUCCUUUUAAUGAUAAGUCUAAUCAUAGAUAUAAGCCUAGGAAGUGCUAUAAUUGUGGUGAAACUGGUCACUAUAUUAAGGAUUGUCCUCACCCUAAGAAAAAACAAGAUGUAGAGCAUGCUAAUGUAAUUGGUAAUGAAACCAAUAGUGAUGUGUUCUAAGGUGGAGCUAUUUCUUAAUGCCUUAGUGUUGUUCUUUGUGAUUGUUUAGGCUUUGUGGCUUUGUGAGACUUCGUUGGUUAGUGCCUUAAUGACUAUGUGAGUCUUUGUGGCUUAGUGUCUUUGUGAUUGAUUAGUAGCUUUGUGUCUAUGUGGCUUUGUGAGUUUUACUUUGUGAUGACCGUUUGUGUCGCAUGUUAUCUUCGUGAUCAUGUGUACUUUGUGAUCUGUGCUAGCUCUUUGUGGCCCUUUGUGCUAGACUAACUUUGUGUUAGUGUGCUUCGUGCUUGGUGGUUGUCUUUCUCUUGUUUGUGUUUUGCAGGAAUUGACUUGGUUAGUUUACCCGUUGACCUUUGUGGUCUUGUGUUUCCCUGUUAUUUCUUUGUGAUUUAAUAGGGGGCUCGGCGAUGAUGAUUAUGGUACAGCUUCCUCUUUGAUGCACACAAUACCGUGAUUGGGCCAAAGGUGGAGAUGUUGUUAGUUGGCCCAAAUUUGGCCCAACAAGCCCAUGCCCUAUCCUCCUUAUUUUGGCAGCCCUCUCAUUUCCCCCUUCCAGUCGAAAAUUAGUGCCCUUUUGGGGCUGUGACCCCUGCGCUUCUUCUCCCCCAUGAACCUCUUCACCUUCCUUCUCUAGAUCCUUCUAUGGUAGGCUAUUUAAAGAGCCCUUGGUCUGUGGCUGUAGAGUGGACGAAAAUUGCUUAGUGUUCUUCCUUUGUGUGGAGGUGCUACCGGUGAAGGUGUAAGGCUUGUUGGCCGAUUGUGGUGCCGGCGAGAGCAACGUCCCCUUUGUGAUUCUUCGUGGCUUAGUGUGUGCGUGAUCGAGAGGAAGAGAGUUGUACCUGAGCCGAGAAGAUCGACGCCCCUUGUUCCUCUCUUUGUGUGUUUUUCCUUGCAGGUUGUCGAGGCUGCUGCUACCUCGUUGCUGCGCCGCUGUGCAGCUGCUGUUUUGCGGCUUUGUAGCUGCGCUGUGGCUGCCCAAAGUCGAAGGAAGCCUUCAACAACGACGACGAGGGUCGAUACUCAACA
Molecule: long non-coding RNA, 1886 nt
Filed under: Salvia miltiorrhiza (redroot sage)
Lineage: Eukaryota; Viridiplantae; Streptophyta; Magnoliopsida; Lamiales; Lamiaceae
Description: long non-coding RNA (SMIL_LNC008197)
Source: RNAcentral